Molecule: ribosomal RNA, 406 nt
Filed under: uncultured bacterium
Lineage: Bacteria
Description: partial 16S ribosomal RNA
Rfam family: Bacterial small subunit ribosomal RNA
Source: RNAcentral
AUUGAACGCUGGCGGCAGGCCUAACACAUGCAAGUCGAGCGAGCGGCGGACGGGUGAGUAAUGUCUGGGAAACUGCCUGAUGGAGGGGGAUAACUACUGGAAACGGUAUCUAAUACCGCAUACCAUCAGAUGUGCCCAUAUGGGAUUAGCUAGUAGGUGGGGUAACGGCUCACCUAGGCGACGAUCCCUAGCUGGUCUGAGAGGAUGACCAGCCACACUGGAACAGAGACACGGUCGAGACUCCUAAGGGAGGCAGCAGUGGGGAAUAUUGCACGAUGGGCGCAAGCCUGAUGCAGCCAUGCCGCGUGUGUGAAGAAGGCCUUCGGGUUGUAAAGCACUUUAAGCGGGGAGGCGUUACCCGCAGAAGAAGCACCGGCUAACUCCGUGCCAGCAGCCGCGGUAAUUC